Molecule: ribosomal RNA, 522 nt
Filed under: uncultured bacterium
Lineage: Bacteria
Description: bacterial SSU rRNA
Rfam family: Bacterial small subunit ribosomal RNA
Source: RNAcentral
CCAGAGAACUUUCCAGAGAUGGAUUGGUGCCUUCGGGAACUCUGAGACAGGUGCUGCAUGGCUGUCGUCAGCUCGUGUUGUGAAAUGUUGGGUUAAGCCCCGCAACGAGCGCAACCCUUUAUCCUUUGUUGCCAGCGGUUAGGCCGGGAACUCAAAGGAGACUGCCAGUGAUAAACUGGAGGAAGGUGGGGAUGACGUCAAGUCAUCAUGGCCCUUACGAGUAGGGCUACACACGUGCUACAAUGGCGCAUACAAAGAGAAGCGACCUCGCGAGAGCAAGCGGACCUCAUAAAGUGCGUCGUAGUCCGGAUUGGAGUCUGCAACUCGACUCCAUGAAGUCGGAAUCGCUAGUAAUCGUGGAUCAGAAUGCCACGGUGAAUACGUUCCCGGGCCUUGUACACACCGCCCGUCACACCAUGGGAGUGGGUUGCAAAAGAAGUAGGUAGCUUAACCUUCGGGAGGGCGCUUACCACUUUGUGAUUCAUGACUGGGGUGAAGUCGUAACAAGGUAGGCGUAGUGCU